GUGCCCCACCCCGGGCACACGAGGCCUCCACUGCGGUUGCGCAGCCUGCCGAAGAGCGUGCGGCUUCUACUGCGGCUGCGCAAGCUCGACGCGCGCACUCUUGUCUGCUUACGAGGGCUCCUCCCUUCAGCUUUGGUCCCUCGGGGCGUCUGGGCAGCCUACGCUUUCCGGAUAAAAAUGGCAGAAUGAAAGAAUUAUGAGUGGAACUAGAGAAUAGGAAAGACAUGAACCAACGCCCAAAAUGAGAAAGAAGGACAUAUAAAGAAAAAGACAAAUACAAGUGAAAAAAAUAGACUAAUGGAUUAACGUCCCUGUCGUGUGACAUUUUCUGACUAUGGAAAUGAUAUUAGACAAAAAGCAACUUCAAGUGGUUUUCUUAUUUGAGUUCAAAAUGGGUCAUAACGCAGCAGAGAUAACUUGAAACAUGAACAGCGCAUUUGGCCCAGGAACUACUAACGAACAUACAGGGCAGCUGUGAUUCAAGAAGUUUUGCAAAGCAGACUAGAGCCUUGAAUAUGAGGAACACAGUGGCCAGCCAUUGGAUGCUUCACUUCUUGAAGCAUCUUGACAGCUUUUUGCAGGUGAAAUGCUUCCACACCAGCAGGAUGCAGAAAAAUGCUUUCCAAGAGUUUGUUGAAUCCAGAAGCAUGGAUGUUUAUGCUGCAGGAAUAAACAAAUUUAUUUCUCGUUGGCAAAAAAGUGUUGAUUGUAAUGGUUCCUAUUUUGAUUAAUAAAGAUGUGUUUGAGCCUAGUUAUAAUGAUUUAAAAUUAAUGGUCCAAAAAUGCAAUUACUUUUGCACCACCACCAACACACACACACACCUACACAUUCUGGAUUUGAAUUCCAUGUUGAUUAUAUGCACUUGGAAUAUUUCUUUUCCAUCUGUGGAUUGUUCUGUCACUUAUUUUCUUUAAUAAAUGGGUUUCUGAACCUCUGUUGUAUUGACAAAAAAAAAAAAAAAA
This 963-nucleotide long non-coding RNA is filed under the name Homo sapiens (human). Its description in RNAcentral is "TTC28 antisense RNA 1 (TTC28-AS1)". The stretch from base 9 to 170 matches the Rfam family "TTC28 antisense RNA 1 conserved region 1". The record is from RNAcentral. Lineage: Eukaryota; Metazoa; Chordata; Mammalia; Primates; Hominidae.